This 437-nucleotide ribosomal RNA is filed under the name uncultured bacterium. Its description in RNAcentral is "bacterial SSU rRNA". It matches the Rfam family "Bacterial small subunit ribosomal RNA", at positions 37 to 507 of the family's 1533-position model. The record is from RNAcentral.
UGGCGGCGUGCCUAAUACAUGCAAGUCGAGCGGCAGCACGGUCUUCGGACUGGUGGCGAGCGGCGGACGGCUGAGUAACGCGUAGGAAUAUACCCCAAAGUGAGGGAUAACUGCCCGAAAGGGUGCUAAUACCGCAUGUGGUCUUCGGACUAAAGCCUUCGGGCGCUUUGGGAAUAGCCUGCGUAAGAUUAGCUAGUUGGUGAGGUAAUGGCUCACCAAGGCGACGAUCUUUAGCUGGUCUGAGAGGAUGACCAGCCAGACUGGAACUGAGACACGGUCCAGACUCCUACGGGAGGCAUCAGUAGGGAAUCUUCCACAAUGGGCGAAAGCCUGAUGGAGCAACGCCGCGUGCAGGAUGAAGGCCCUCGGGUCGUAAACUGCUUUUAUGUGCGAAGAAUAUGACGGUAACACAUGAAUAAGGGUCGGCUAACUACGUG